Molecule: ribosomal RNA, 850 nt
Filed under: Pristimantis paladines
Lineage: Eukaryota; Metazoa; Chordata; Amphibia; Anura; Strabomantidae
Description: partial large subunit ribosomal RNA
Rfam family: Bacterial large subunit ribosomal RNA
Source: RNAcentral
UAUUAACCCCUUUCCAACUUAUAUUGAGAACUUUCUAUAACUAUAUAGAACCUUCUCAUGCUAAAACUAGUAACAAGAGAAAAUCCUCUCCCUAAUGCAAACAUAAGCCAGCAAGAACCCAUCACUGGCAAUUAACAGCCCUAAACAAAAUAGCAACCUCACUAGAAAACCCUACUCCCCCAACUGUUAACCUAACACUAGAGCAUUUCAAGAAAGAUUAAAAGAAAAAGAAGGAACUCGGCAAACUCCAGUCCCGCCUGUUUACCAAAAACAUCGCCUCUUGCUCUCUAUAAGAGGUCUAACCUGCCCAGUGACUCUGUUCAACGGCCGCGGUAUCCUAACCGUGCGAAGGUAGCGUAAUCACUUGUUUUCUAAAUAAAGACCUGUAUGAAAGGUAUAACGAGGACUAAACUGUCUCCUUUUUCCAAUCAGUGAACCUAAUCUCCCCGUGAAGAAGCGGGGAUUUCUAUAUAAGACGAGAAGACCCUAUGGAGCUUAAAACAUCAUAACACCUGCCACCCACCUUUAAUUACCCAAGUAUUCCUUCAACCGGCACCCUGAUUCUAUGUUUUUGGUUGGGGUGACCGCGGAGAAAACCUCAUCCUCCGCAAUGAAAGGGGAUUUUCCCCUAAACAAUAAGUUACAACUUUAUGUAUCAACAAAUUAACAUCCAUUGACCCAAUAAAUUGAUUAAUGAACCAAGUUACCCUAGGGAUAACAGCGCAAUCCACUUUAAGAGCCCCUAUCGACAAGUGGGCUUACGACCUCGAUGUUGGAUCGGGAUAUCCUAGUGGUGCAGCCGCUACUAAGGGUUCGUUUGUUCAACGAUUAAAAUCCUACCUGAUCUGAG